GACGAACGCUGGCGGCGUGCUUAACACAUGCAAGUCGAACGAUGAACCCGGAGCUUGCUCCGGCGGAUUAGUGGCGAACGGGUGAGUAACACGUGAGUAACCUGCCCUUGACUCUGGGAUAACUGCUAGAAAUGGUAGCUAAUACCGGAUACGACCCUCGGCGGCAUCGCCAGGGGGUGGAAAGAAUUUCGGUCAAGGAUGGACUCGCGGCCUAUCAGCUAGUUGGUGAGGUAACGGCUCACCAAGGCGACGACGGGUAGCCGGCAUGAGAGGGUGACCGGCCACACUGGGACUGAGACACGGCCCAGACUCCUACGGGAGGCAGCAGUGGGGAAUAUUGCACAAUGGGCGCAAGCCUGAUGCAGCAACGCCGCGUGAGGGAUGACGGCCUUCGGGUUGUAAACCUCUUUCAGCACCGACGAAGCGCAAGUGACGGUAGGUGCAGAAGAAGGACCGGCCAACUACGUGCCAGCAGCCGCGGUAA
Molecule: ribosomal RNA, 484 nt
Filed under: uncultured bacterium
Lineage: Bacteria
Description: partial 16S ribosomal RNA
Rfam family: Bacterial small subunit ribosomal RNA
Source: RNAcentral